GCAAUAUCCGCCAGCCUCCAAUUCAAGUUUAGUCUCUAACAGUGAAGCGGACUAUGAGCAUGCUAAGAGAUCUAAAGAGAGUGGGAAAGCAAAGGCACCCUUGGGUACGCUCAGCAAAUCUGAAUGGGAUGCAACAAGUAUAUAUUUAUUAUUUGCAUUUGAAAAACAGGCUUGAAUGAAACUGCUGGUGAAAAUUUUGUCAACUUGUUGUCAUUUUAGUUUCUUCCAGUGUUGUGUGUAUUGGUAUAUAUAUUUUGUAACAGUUUUUGUGCAUGGAAUUAAUAUGUGCUGAAAAUAUUUACUUUAAAUUUAUGUGCCAGUUGCAAGUGCCCGUCUGUGACAGGCUUUUUUUUGUUUGUGUAAAUAAGACCAGAAGCUAUUUUUUGUAUAAAUAUUUUAAUCUUUGUAUGCAUAGUGUUGGGAGAAUAUUUCAAGACAUAUGAUUAAAAAUAUUUUUUACAUUAUAAUUAUUUGUGUUAAAAG
Molecule: long non-coding RNA, 483 nt
Organism: Nanorana parkeri
Lineage: Eukaryota; Metazoa; Chordata; Amphibia; Anura; Dicroglossidae
Exons: 3
Source: RefSeq, a predicted model, not a curated record